Long non-coding RNA from Platichthys flesus (European flounder), 343 nucleotides. RefSeq lists it as uncharacterized. The transcript has 3 exons. The record is from RefSeq and is a predicted model, not a curated record. NCBI's taxonomy places the organism in Eukaryota, Metazoa, Chordata, Actinopteri, Pleuronectiformes, Pleuronectidae.
GUUUUGAGGUUUCUGCAUUGUUAAAAUGUUAAAAUGUAUUUUCUUGUAGUUUCUCAUCACCCUCUUCGAUGGAGGAAGUACAUCUUAAUUGGUACACAUGGGCCCCACAGAUAACUCUUUUACAUGGUUUCAGUAGAACUACCCCGCAGCCCUCCCCUCGACCGUAGCCGUCUGCCGUGCUGGAGAAAGGUCUGCUCGUCCCUUCAGGCGAGAUGAAGAGCCACGAGGGACGAGGAGCAGGCGCUGUCUAUGGCCAGUGACGGCCCAGUGAAGUUGAAGAUGUAUGAGACUCUGUUUGCUGCGAUGCUCAUGGCGAGGCCAGUGCCAGUCCAGUGGUUGAUCA